This 484-nucleotide ribosomal RNA is filed under the name uncultured bacterium. Its description in RNAcentral is "partial 16S ribosomal RNA". It matches the Rfam family "Bacterial small subunit ribosomal RNA", at positions 30 to 507 of the family's 1533-position model. The record is from RNAcentral.
AUUGAACGCUGGCGGCAGGCCUAACACAUGCAAGUCGAGCGGACGAAGGGAGCUUGCUCCUGGAUUCAGCUGCGGACGGGUGAGUAAUGCCUAGGAAGCUGCCUGGUAGUGGGGGAUAACGUCCGGAAACGGGCGCUAAUACCGCAUACGUCAUGAGGGAGAAAGUGGGGGAUCUUCGGACCUCACGCUAUUAGAUGAGCCUAGGUCGGAUUAGCUAGUUGGUGAGGUAAAGGCCUACCAAGGCGACGAUCCGUAACUGGUCUGAGAGGAUGAUCAGUCACACUGGAACUGAGACACGGUCCAGACUCCUACGGGAGGCAGCAGUAGGGAAUAUUGGACAAUGGGCGAAAGCCUGAUCGAGCCAUGCCGCGUGUGUGAAGAAGGUCUUCGGAUUGUAAAACUCUUUAAGUUGGGAGGAAGAGAAGUAAGUGUAUACCUUGCUGUUUUGACGGUACCAACAGAGUAAGCACCGGCUAACUUCGUG